RNAcentral lists this unclassified non-coding RNA (3719 nucleotides) under Haliotis rufescens (red abalone). Its description in RNAcentral is "piggyBac transposable element-derived protein 4-like, transcript variant X2". Lineage: Eukaryota; Metazoa; Mollusca; Gastropoda; Lepetellida; Haliotidae. The record is from RNAcentral.
ACGAACCACAAGAUGGCGACUGGCAUCAACGUGAUUAUGUAACCACAUAUUUCAGGAAUACCAUAUAUUACGGCUCAUGCGCUUUCACUUCUAUGCAUAGGACAUAUAACAAAAGCUAUGUCAACAGAAGGCAAAGAAGUAUUUGAUUUAUCAUUUGUGCUGCAAGAUAGCGAUAGUGAGAAUGAAUCUGAUGAUCACCCAGCAUUGGAAUUAGUUGAUGGUUUGGAGGAUGAAAAGUGGGAUGCAGAUGAAAUGGAUGAGGAAGAUGUCCUUUAUUCCUGGGUAUCAAGUGAAAAUGUAUCUGCUAGGGGACCUAUGCAUUCAAUGUUAGAUCUGAAGUUCACUGAUGUCCCAGGCAGCAGAGUAAUAACAGUGGCUUGGAAACCAGUAGAUUAUUUUCUGGCAUACUUCCCACCUAGUCUAUUCAAGAGGAUUGCAGAGGAGACAAACAGAUAUGUUUCUCAGUUUGUUGCUGCGAAUCCUAAAUUACCAAUGUUCUCCCGUUUUCAAAACUACACACCAACUAAUGCUGAAGAACUCAUGGUUUUUGUUGCUCUAGAGAUGUCAAUGGGGAUGUGUGUUAAGGCAGAUGUGUCAGAGUACUGGAUCACCUCAGGUUUGAAUGUCACUCCAGUGUACAAGAAAAUGAUGUCCAGAGACAGAUUUAUAUGCCUGAGGUCCAUAUUACAUUUCAAUGACAAUUCCAUGUGUCCCGAGCCAGGAAGUGCGGAUUAUGAUCCAAUGUAUAAGGUGCGUCCUAUCAAUGAUGUCAUGAAAGAGCUGUGCCUACAAAAUUAUGUACCACAUGAAAAUCUGUGUGUCAAUGAGAGCAUGAGAUACAGAUGGAGGACCUUCAAGAAUCAGCUAGUGCCUUCAGAGCCCCAGAAUUUUGAUAUGAAAAUUUGGUGUCUGUGUGACAGCACUAAUGGAAUGUGCCUGAAUUGGAAGAUUCACUGCGGAGAAAAACCUUCAUCCAAUGGACUUGGGAUGGAUGUUGUGACAGAGUUAUCUGCUCCUUAUUUCAACACUUGCAGAGUUAUCUACCAUGGCAAGUUCUUCACAUCACCAGCUCUUGCGUUAUAUCUGUCAAAGAAAGGACUUGGGAGUUGUGGCCCUGUCUGUUUAAAAAGAGAUGACAUUCCAAAGGCAUUGCAGAAAUCACCAGGGAAGGUUGAUAGUGAGUCUGUAUUGUUCUACAAAGAUCAACCCACUGGUUUAGUGAUGUCUUCUUCAAGGUCUUGGAGUGAUCGAAGGAGAGUCAACUAUUUGUCUACUGUCCAUGGGAACGAGGUUGUUCAUAAACGGGUGACUAGUAGGAAGAGUCCACAAGGUCACCAAGAUGUCCAGAAACCAAAGAUGGUAGCCGAUGUGAAUGAGUUCAUGACCGGAGUCAAUUCCAUGAAUAAGUUCACAACAAAGUAUAUCAACAAGACCAAAUGCAGAAAAAACUACCUUAUCAUCUAUGACUUUCUCAAAGAAGUUGCUAUGUUCAAUGCCUACAUCCUCCACAAGGAAUCAACAGAGAAGGCUUGCAGCUACAGAUCAUUCAGGGACGAUGUUGUGCUAGGGCUCAUUGAGAUUUACCACAACACAGGCCAACCCUCUCCUAGGGUCCAUAGCUAUGACUCAACAUUUGUGCCUGAAAGAAUGAGAGGGAGACACUUCAUUGAGCAAAUGCAAGAAUGGAAAACACCUCGAGAUUGUGUUGUAUGUUCCGACAGGAAGACUCGUCAACGGCACCAGACUUCAAAUGGUUGCCCCGACUGUGGAGUAGCUCUGUGUGUUGGUAAAUGUUUCAAGAGGUACCACACCUGCUUUGAGUUCAAGCUUCAUAGCUAGUGCUAUGACGGGGAAGGACAUUUGUUUGCAUGAGCAUCUCCACAAAGCAUUGACAGACAACAGUAGAACAGAAGUCUCAUCUCAUGCUUUUGCUCCUGAGAUAUUGUCUGAUCAUGUGAAAAUGAUGACUAUAUCUUUUAGGCCAACAUUGCAACAUAACAAUUGUGUUUUGUUCAUUCUCUGUAUUUGUUUGAUGUUAUAUUUAGCUAAAUACUAACAGUCAGACUGUGGGUGAAUUGUAGACACAUUGAAGAAGCUAAAACGUUCAGCGAAGAUAAUUUUGUUCAGGGAUUGACCAUUUGAUAAUCAGUGUUGGGUUGGGUGGGGAAUGUUCGGAAUUUAUAUUUUUAAAUAAUUUGUUCCAGAAAAUACUUGAAAACUUAUUUCAUCCUUUGGUUUUACAGGAAAGAAACAUUGUUCGCUGGACAGUGGAUGUCCUGAAAAUAAUUAAAAAAUUCCAUAUCCUCUUUUCCGAGACAAAAAGUGCAUAUUUUCAAAAAGUGAAAAUAUCCCCCAUCUACCAAACGCACCAUGCACUGCUCAAAACUUCAGCAUUUUCAGAUAGUCAAAAAAUACCUCAGUGUGUUGGUUCUCUCCCACUCUCUCUGAUCCUAGAAAGGGCAAGGUAUCAUGAUAAGGGCCUUUAGGAUCUGCAUAGGUUCAGAAAUGACCAACACCUGUAGAAAUUGUUAUGGAUGUGUGCAACAUGAAUGAGAACUUUGCUUUGUUCAUUUCAGGACAACUAUAAUUAGACUUGUGGCAAAACUAAAUGUAAAGGUGAAACUCUCAUUUUAUAGGUUUUCAGGAAGCAUUUUUCUAAGCGUUAGAACAUGAGCAAGUCUUUGACCCAAGGAUUAGAACACAAACACAUGGUGAAAGGGUCAUGUUGGGUCACACACUUGCUUAUUAAAGAUUCAAUUUUUUUCUUUCAAGUUUGAAAAUGUUCUCUUUUUCAUCAUUAAUAUGUACCUAAUAACUGAAAAAUUAUAAAUAUGAUGCUCAAAUAGACAAUGUGGAUUUUGAGACUGAACAAUAUUCCCGCUGUGUACACAACAAACAACUUGUCUUAACUGACGAGGGUGUGAUUCCGUCUAAGUGGGUAGAUAUUAGGGUGCAAAAAUUGAAGGCAGAAUUUAAAUUGAAAUUUGUAAAGUAUUUUUUUAAAAGUCUUGAAAAAUGCAUACAACACAAUAUUAAGGCAACAGGGUUCAUCUUAAGGCCAAUCAAAAUGCAGUACUGUACACCUUAAUCUUCCACUGAAGAGAGGAAAGGUUUUCAUGUUAUGUGUUAUAUCACACUAUAAGGAAUUAGAAUAUGCUUAUGAUGACAGUAAUGUUUGCCUUUGAGCAUAGAAUUACAGUAUUGGUAGAACGAAUGUAAUGUUUGUGUUUACAAACGUGUUUGUUUGAAUAUUUCUUGUUGUUUAUUAAUUUUUCUUCAAAGAUGAAUUUGCAAACAGCCUCCUAAACCAUGUUGAAUCUACCUCUGACCUUGGAGACUUUAUCAGACCUAAGUGACAAUUAAUUCUAGAUUAUAAAAUGAUCAUCAUUAAACCUCAAUUAUCUAAGAACUGUCUUUGAAAUAUUUAAAUCAUGAGUAAAAUGUUUAAAUUUAGCAACACUGCCAAUCUUUUGAAUUAUGUAUCACGUGACUGAUUAAGUGCAUUCUUUAAUGGGAAAGUAUGACCAUUGAGAUACUUGCUUCAUUUGAUUUUAUUGUAUGGUCAGGGAGAAAAUAGAUUGUUUCCCCUUCAGGAUUCAUUUCUCUCUUCAUUAAAGAUGGUACAGUUGAAUAAGGUAGGGAAUGUUACAUGUUCCUUGUUUAUAUUUCAAUUCUUAUUUCUGUGUUUCAGUCAGAAUAAACAGCUCUUUGAUGAACAA